GAUGAACGCUAGCGACAGGCCUAACACAUGCAAGUCGAGGGGCAGCACAUGAGUAGCAAUACGAUGGUGGCGACCGGCGCACGGGUGAGUAUCGCGUAUGCAACCUACCUUCCACAGGGGGAUAGCCUUCCGAAAGGGAGAUUAAUACCGCAUAAAACAGGGGCCCCGCAUGGGGAUAUUUGUUAAAGAUUUAUCGGUGGGAGAUGGGCAUGCGUUCCAUUAGCUAGUUGGCGGGGUAAUGGCCCACCAAGGCAUCGAUGGAUAGGGGAACUGGGAGGUUUAUCCCCCACACUGGAACUGAGACACGGUCCAGACUCCUACGGGAGGCAGCAGUGAGGAAUAUUGGUCAAUGGGCGGGAGCCUGAACCAGCCAAGUCGCGUGAAGGAAGACGGUUCUAUGGAUUGUAAACUUCUUUUGCACUGGGGUAAAACGGGGGACGUGUCCCCCCUUGCAAGUACAGUGCGAAUAAGCAUCGCCUAACUCCGUGCCAGCCGCCGCAGUAA
This 504-nucleotide ribosomal RNA is filed under the name uncultured bacterium. RNAcentral's name for it is "partial 16S ribosomal RNA". It matches the Rfam family "Bacterial small subunit ribosomal RNA", at positions 28 to 523 of the family's 1533-position model. The record is from RNAcentral.